UAGAAAAAAAAAAAAAUCUGUGUAAAACAACAAAAAAUGUUUUGUUGGAGGGCUCCUGCUUAGACAACAUAUUGACAAUGAAAAAAUACUGUCCUUGUGCAAGCAUUUGCAAAGCGUUUUUAAGGACAACUUUAAUAUUACAUUAAAUAAAGCAGCAUGAAAACUCUUUGCUAUAGUAUUUUUUAAUAGCAGAAUUUGCUAUAAUUUUUAGACAGUCAGGUUUCCUGAAUUCCAAAAAGGACAUGAAUUUUUUCAACCUAGCCUUUGUGAGGCUCAGGACUGCCACAAAACACAAGCCAUUAAGAUAGCAGUUCUCAACAAGUGCCAGAAAUAACAGUUCACUUUCUCACAACAAAAGAUGCUGAAGUACUAGCAACAUUUUCUAAGAUCUUUUAAAAUACCUUAAAAAUAAAUCUAUAUAUUUAUUUACGUCCAGUAUAGUAUAAAAAUCAUGGGCAUCUUCCCUUACAUUUUUAGAAAUAGUAGCAUUUCAGGAUGCCAUGACUAAGACACACUGAUGCUGUCAGAAGUUAUUAUUUGAGUGGCUUAAAGAUGUCAAAAACUAUCUCCUAACUGAUGGGAAAGGAAUUCAAUAAUAGACAAUUUCAAGACAAAAAAAAAUGACCACCUCGGCCUUAAAUAAGAAAAUGUUGUUAAAUUGGAAAACCUCAAUUAAAUUAGAAGCUUAUGGCUUAGUGAUGAGCUGGGCUACAAACAAAUGCUUUUUUUAAGGAGAGAGCUUUUAGUAAUACUCAUUUACCAUAUAAGAAAUGACACAAAGCAGAACUUUGUUAAGGUUUAUUUUACAUAAUGGCAAUUUACCCAUGGGAGCAGUGCUUAUAUGCAAAUUGUAUCCCCAAGUGAGAGCUGCUCUCCUUGAUGGGACAUCGAUUCUUCCAGAGAUGGCAGGCAGCAGCUGUGUCACUGUCCUCAGAGGGACAAAAGAUAUAUAUUAUCCAGGUUUUGUAGCAGCCUGGCCACUAACUCAGAACAUCUCGCAGCCCAGGGACCACCAUCCCUCCUAGAAUGGCUUGUGCCCAUUAGAAGUGAAGAUUGGAAAUGCAGUCAGUGGUCUCAGGAUCCAAGAUUUAUAAAUCUCAUUACUGCAUCUGUCCACAGAUCUGGAUGUCAGACCUUUAUCUUUCUUCCUGUUCCUCUAGACCACUUCAGUUUCAUAAUAUUCUUUAGUCUAUCAAUCUUAUUUGAGGAAAAUAAUAGAAGUUAAUCUCUUAGUUUCCAAAAACUCACCUUAGCCUCACAAACAACUAGUAUCUUACACUUCUCUCAUUGAAACUACCACUUGUAUUGAAAGGAUGUUAGUAUUAAAUUAUAACAACGCUCCUAGGGAGGUACAUGCAUUUAUUUGAGCACCCAAAAUGUUCAACAUGAUUAAUGUGAUUGCAACCAAUGACAAGGUAAUUUAAAAUGAUUACUAAAAAUAUCACCCUCACACGUUAUUUUUAGAGUAUCUCCAGCAGUAACAAAACAGCACAGAGCUGGGCACAACUUUCACAAACAGUGUAAGAUGUGAAAUCUAAGAAGAAUAAAUUAAGUUACUGGCAUCUGUCUGUCUAGAAAUAGAAUCAUCUUUAAGAGUGCUCUCUAGAGAGAAGGAAAACACACACUUUUGAAAAUGAGUCAAUAUUUUCAAAAAAGCCACGGAUUCUGAGCAUGUCAUAUUGCUGUUACCCAGCUUGGACACGUGAAUGCUGGGUGUUUCCUUAAGGUCCUCCCCACAGGCAGUUAGUUUCAAGUCCUUUGUCAACACAUUUUCUCUCACAUUUAAAUUGGCUUCAUUUAUUUGUAGGUCCCAGGCUCUGGACCUCAUCCAUUUCCCUCCCUACUUAGUAUCUGCCCAACACUGAAAGAAAAAAAAAAAAAAAAAAAAAAAAAAAAGUGUUGGUUUUAACCCUCAAUGUCUCCUAAAUGUUGAGUGUAGAGGAACAACCUUUAUUUUACACAAGAAAACUCUCUAUUAAAUGAUGCUUAGCAAGACCUGUAAAAUAGCCUAGGUUGUUAAAGUUAAGCUACUUGGAGAUCAGAGAACGAAAGUAUAUAUAUCAGCUUCAGUGAAGCCAUACACUCACCAAAUCUUGAUUGUAUAACUUUUCUUACUUUUCAUUAAAAUUCUCAGAUGUAUUAUUCCUGGACAAAGGAGGAUAGAUCUCAAAGAGUCUCAGGAAAAUCCAAUACUCUUUUCUCCUUUUCCAAGGGAAGUAAUAUUUCCAUAGAGAAGCACAUUAUCAAGGUGUUAAGGCCAGCAAUUUACUUACUUCCAGAAGAUGUGGUAGUAUAAAGUUAUAAAAUAUAUCAUGGCCAAAAGGUAAAGGCCACAUUUCAUGAUGUUUUCAAAGAACAUAUUUCUUUUUAACUAAGUUCUUAAGUUCCCUGUGCAUGCAUUACUGCUUCUAUUAACAAAAUUCAUUUAUUUGUGUAGGCAAUGAGCUUUUCAGCUGUCUACUUGUUUUAUUUGCUUGGUAGAAUUUUGUCAUGAAAAUUAAAGUUACAUUCUGGUAGCAGCACAUUCCAGCAGCUUGGCUCACUUCUUCCCUCACACACUUCUUGCAGGUUCCUGCUCAGGAAAGCAUGAGUAUGGUAAACCCUAUUGGACUCAGUAGGCUUCAAAAACAAGCUUAAAUUAAAGCACGUGUACAAGUGUUGACCUAAAAAGAGAUGGAUGUAUGCACCUUUUAAAUUUUAAAGAGUGUAGGGGCCACUGUUAUUUACAUCUUUUGCAUUAUUUUGUCUUACACCUCGUAUUGCUGCCUGCUGCAGAAAUUCCUGUGUAGUGGCACAGGAAUUGUGCCACUUGUGGCUGGUGGGAGUCUGCACAAGUCUGAAGAUAAGUUGGUAAGCUCAAGUUCAUUAAAAAGCUCUGAGUAAAGCCUCAAUCUUGCUAAAGAGCAGGUGAAUUUUACUGUUAUCUUUAUAUGAUAUUAUUAUGUCUUUAUAUCACUCUAAAUGCAAGUCACUCAUGACUAAGGACAGCAUCUGGAUGCUGUUCUGCAGCAGACAUUAAUGAAACCAUGUUAUUUCAUAAAGAUUGUCCUAUUUUCACUGUCUGAUUGAAGCUGUUUUUUGUCAUUGAUAAGGGCUGUCAAGCCUUGUAGAACUGUAUAAUUAGAAACCCAGAGAACCAUUGAAAAUCAAUAUGGUCCAACUGAAGUGAUUCUACAAAUGUUCAGAAUGUAAUGGACUGCAAUAAAUCGUUCAAAAUUCCAUACAUUUGGUUAGAAAAAAAAAAAGUAAAAAAAAAAAAAAAGUGUGUAAAUAUGCUUAGUAUUAACUUCUGUAGAACUUUACCUUUAGGUGCAUAGUUUGUCAUAUCUGUGGAAUGAUUUAACUGAUAUCUAUUAAUAUCAAUAGGAUAUUGAGAAAAGCAGGAUAACCCAUUAUUUUGAUUAAUCAGAACAGGCAAUGUUUGCUUAUCUCCUAUCUACAUGACUCUACACAACUGUUAGCCUGUUUUCAAGACAGAAUCACAUCUAGGAAACUUAUUCUAACAACUUUCUCCAUCUUCAGGCAAACAUCUUUUGUGCAUCCAGCUGAGGAACGUGGCCAGGCACUGGGAAACUCUACAAGAGUUUCUACAAGGGGAUUCUUUUCCAUCAAACUCCAGUUCAUUUUAUCUGCCUCCACACUCCCUUCUUCCAUAGGAGCAGGAUAUUUGGCAGUUCACAGUGAUGCAUAGGGUUCCCCAUCCUGUUUUCUGUCCUCUGCAAUGGAGGCUGUGACUGUUCGAUAUGUGUGUUGUUAGUGUUUUGGGGUUAUUGUUUGUUUGUUUACAGUGAAUGGUACUGUACAGUUUAUGUUUUAUCUAAAAUAAUACAGUGGCUAUGUGGCAGAGGAUAAAGCACCAGAAGGUGAGGAAGAAAGAGAAAGAGAAAAAAGAAAGAGAAAA
This is a long non-coding RNA of Oxyura jamaicensis (ruddy duck), 3901 nucleotides long. RefSeq lists it as uncharacterized. Lineage: Eukaryota; Metazoa; Chordata; Aves; Anseriformes; Anatidae. The transcript is spliced from 2 exons. The record is from RefSeq and is a predicted model, not a curated record.